CCUACGGGCGGCUGCAGUGGGGAAUAUUGGACAAUGGGCGAAAGCCUGAUCCAGCCAUGCCGCGUGUGUGAAGAAGGCCUUCGGGUUGUAAAGCACUUUCAGUGGGGAAGAAAGCCUUGGGGCUAAUACCCUCGAGGAAGGACAUCACCCACAGAAGAAGCACCGGCUAACUCCGUGCCAGCAGCCGCGGUAAUACGGAGGGUGCGAGCGUUAAUCGGAAUUACUGGGCGUAAAGCGCGCGUAGGCGGUCUGAUAAGCCGGUUGGGAAAGCCCCGGGCUCAACCUGGGAACGGCAUCCGGAACUGUCAGGCUAGAGUGCAGGAGAGGAAGGUAGAAUUCCCGGUGUAGCGGUGAAAUGCGUAGAGAUCGGGAGGAAUACCAGUGGCGAAGGCGGUCUUCUGGACUGACACUGACGCUGAGGUGCGAAAGCGUGGGUAGCAAACAGGAUUAGAUACCCCAGUAGUC
This 465-nucleotide ribosomal RNA is filed under the name Vreelandella stevensii. Its description in RNAcentral is "partial 16S ribosomal RNA". It matches the Rfam family "Bacterial small subunit ribosomal RNA", at positions 338 to 795 of the family's 1533-position model. Lineage: Bacteria; Pseudomonadati; Pseudomonadota; Gammaproteobacteria; Oceanospirillales; Halomonadaceae. The record is from RNAcentral.